This 441-nucleotide ribosomal RNA is filed under the name uncultured Alphaproteobacteria bacterium. Its description in RNAcentral is "bacterial SSU rRNA". It matches the Rfam family "Bacterial small subunit ribosomal RNA", at positions 337 to 795 of the family's 1533-position model. The record is from RNAcentral. Lineage: Bacteria; Pseudomonadati; Pseudomonadota; Alphaproteobacteria.
UCCUACGGGAGGCAGCAGUGGGGAAUAUUGGACAAUGGGCGCAAGCCUGAUCCAGCCAUGCCGCGUGAGUGAUGAAGGCCUUAGGGUUGUAAAGCUCUUUUGUCAGGGAAGAUGAUGACGGUACCUGAAGAAUAAGCACCGGCUAACUUCGUGCCAGCAGCCGCGGUAAUACGAAGGGUGCUAGCGUUGUUCGGAAUCACUGGGCGUAAAGCGCGCGUAGGCGGCGAUUCAAGUCAGGGGUGAAAUCCCAGAGCUUAACUCUGGAACUGCCUUUGAAACUGUAUCGCUGGAGUGUCGGAGGGGAUGGCGGAAUUGCUAAUGUAGAGGUGAAAUUCGUAGAUAUUAGCAGGAACACCGGUGGCGAAGGCGGCCAUCUGGACGACAACUGACGCUGAGGCGCGAAAGCGUGGGGAUCAAACAGGAUUAGAUACCCCGGUAGUC